AAGACUAUACUUUCAGGGAUCAUUUCUAUAGUUCACUACUAGAGAAGUUUCUCUGUUAACUGAAAAGUGAUCCCUGUUAAAUAUAAGAGUGGGAAUAAGAGAGGGA
Small nucleolar RNA from Oryctolagus cuniculus (rabbit), 106 nucleotides. Its record names the gene U3. It matches the Rfam family "Small nucleolar RNA U3". Rfam says of the family: Small nucleolar RNAs (snoRNAs) are involved in the processing and modification of rRNA in the nucleolus. There are two main classes of snoRNAs: the box C/D class, and the box H/ACA class. NCBI's taxonomy places the organism in Eukaryota, Metazoa, Chordata, Mammalia, Lagomorpha, Leporidae. The record is from Ensembl.